This 479-nucleotide long non-coding RNA is filed under the name Pan paniscus (pygmy chimpanzee). RNAcentral describes it as "lncRNA (ENSPPAG00000044728.1)". Lineage: Eukaryota; Metazoa; Chordata; Mammalia; Primates; Hominidae. The record is from RNAcentral.
AUGCACCAACACUUCCCCUGGUGUAACCAAGGAAGAAGAAAUUUAUUUCAUUCUUAUUUCAAUCACAAGAGCAUCCUUGUUGAGCCAACCAGAGCCAAUUACUGUUGUGUGGGUUGUAUGUGUGGAAGUUCAGUGAAACCAAAGACAUUUGAUGCAGUUAUGAAGAAUUUUAUUCAAUCUCAUGCCAAUGACUAAGAGUAACUGCUUAAUAGGGAGAGUGUUUUCUUCCAAUUUGAGACUGCAGAGCACUCUCUUUGCAAGAAACUCUGGCUUUAAUGAAAGUGCACCUGAGCCCAGGCAUAUUUGAUCACUCUUUCCGUGUGUUAAAAAGAGUCCUGUUUCUUUCUGGAAUUUUGAUUGCAUGUGUAAACACUGGCAACAUUUAUUUGCUUCACAUCAUUUUCUAAAUCUAUUAACUGUAGGAAAAGGAAACUUGUCCAGAGAAAAAUAAAGUGAAUGAAAAAAAUACUGAAAAUGGG